GACGAACGCUGGCGGCGUGCUUAACACAUGCAAGUCGAACGGAAAGGCCCGGCUUUUGUUGGGUGCUCGUGUGGCGAACGGGUGAGUAACACGUGAGUAACCUGCCCUUGACUUUGUGAUAACUUCAGGAAACUGGGGCGAAUACCGGAUAGGAUCUCCUGCUGCAUGUGGGUGGUUAGAAAGUUUCGGCGGUUGGGGAUGGACUCGAGGCUUAUCAGCUGGUUUGUCGGGUAGGUGCUGACCAAGGCUUUGACGGGUAGCCGGCCUGAGAGGGUGACCGGCCACAUUGGGACUGAGAUACGGACCAGACUCCUACGGGAGGCAGCAGUGGGGAAUAUUGCACAAUGGGCGGAAGCCUGAUGCAGCAACGCCGCGUGCGGGAUGACGGCCUUCGGGUUGUAAACAGAUUUCGCCUGUGCCGAAGAGUGAGUGACGGUAAUGGGUAAAGAAGCAACGGCUAACUACGUG
This 468-nucleotide ribosomal RNA is filed under the name uncultured bacterium. Its description in RNAcentral is "partial 16S ribosomal RNA". It matches the Rfam family "Bacterial small subunit ribosomal RNA", at positions 28 to 507 of the family's 1533-position model. The record is from RNAcentral.